This 753-nucleotide ribosomal RNA is filed under the name Lentilactobacillus buchneri. RNAcentral describes it as "bacterial SSU rRNA". It matches the Rfam family "Bacterial small subunit ribosomal RNA", at positions 51 to 760 of the family's 1533-position model. Lineage: Bacteria; Bacillati; Bacillota; Bacilli; Lactobacillales; Lactobacillaceae. The record is from RNAcentral.
AUACAUGCAAGUCGAACGCGUCUCCGUUGAUGAUUUUAGGUGCUUGCACUUGAAAGAUUUAACAUUGAGACGAGUGGCGAACUGGUGAGUAACACGUGGGUAACCUGCCCUUGAAGUAGGGGAUAACACUUGGAAACAGGUGCUAAUACCGUAUAACAACCAAAACCACCUGGUUUUGGUUUAAAAGACGGCUUCGGCUGUCACUUUAGGAUGGACCCGCGGCGUAUUAGCUUGUUGGUAAGGUAACGGCCUACCAAGGCGAUGAUACGUAGCCGACCUGAGAGGGUAAUCGGCCACAUUGGGACUGAGACACGGCCCAAACUCCUACGGGAGGCAGCAGUAGGGAAUCUUCCACAAUGGACGAAAGUCUGAUGGAGCAACGCCGCGUGAGUGAUGAAGGGUUUCGGCUCGUAAAACUCUGUUGUUGGAGAAGAACAGGUGUCAGAGUAACUGUUGACAUCUUGACGGUAUCCAACCAGAAAGCCACGGCUAACUACGUGCCAGCAGCCGCGGUAAUACGUAGGUGGCAAGCGUUGUCCGGAUUUAUUGGGCGUAAAGCGAGCGCAGGCGGUUUUUUAGGUCUGAUGUGAAAGCCUUCGGCUUAACCGGAGAAGUGCAUCGGAAACCGGGAGACUUGAGUGCAGAAGAGGACAGUGGAACUCCAUGUGUAGCGGUGAAAUGCGUAGAUAUAUGGAAGAACACCAGUGGCGAAGGCGGCUGUCUGGUCUGUAACUGACGCUGAGGCUCGAAAGC